This 250-nucleotide ribosomal RNA is filed under the name uncultured bacterium. Its description in RNAcentral is "partial 16S ribosomal RNA". It matches the Rfam family "Bacterial small subunit ribosomal RNA", at positions 524 to 773 of the family's 1533-position model. The record is from RNAcentral.
GACAGGGGGCCCAAGCGUUAAUCGGAAUCACUGGGCUUAAAGGGUGCGCAGGCGGAUCGGAAAGCGUCUUGUGAAAGCCCCCGGCUCAACCGGGGAACUGCAGGGCGAACUCCCGAUCUUGAGGCAGGUAGGGGCAGACGGAACUGUCGGUGGAGCGGUGAAAUGCUUAGAUAUCGACAGGAACGCCAAUGGCGAAGGCAGUCUGCUGGGCCUGUCCUGACGCUCAGGCACGAAAGCGUGGGGAGCAAAC